GACGAACGCUGGCGGCGUGCCUAAUACAUGCAAGUGGGACGCAAGGAAACACACUGUGCUUGCACACCGUGUUCUCUUGAGUCGCGAACGGGUGAGUAACCCGUAGGUAACCUGCCUAUUAGCGGGGGAUAACUAUUGGAAACGAUAGCUAAUACCGCAUAAUAUUAAUUAUUGCAUGAUAAUUGAUUGAAAGAUGCAAGCGCAUCACUAGUAGAUGGACCUGCGUUGUAUUAGCUAGUUGGUAAGGUAAGAGCUUACCAAGGCGACGAUACAUAGCCGACCUGAGAGGGUGAUCGGCCACACUGGGACUGAGACACGGCCCAGACUUCUACGGGAGGCAGCAGUAGGGAAUCUUCGGCAAUGGACGAAAGUCUGACCGAGCAACGCCGCGUGAGUGAAGAAGGUUUUCGGAUCGUAAAGCUCUGUUGUAAGUCAAGAACGUGUGUGAGAGUGGAAAGUU
This 460-nucleotide ribosomal RNA is filed under the name Streptococcus mutans. Its description in RNAcentral is "bacterial SSU rRNA". It matches the Rfam family "Bacterial small subunit ribosomal RNA", at positions 28 to 470 of the family's 1533-position model. Lineage: Bacteria; Bacillati; Bacillota; Bacilli; Lactobacillales; Streptococcaceae. The record is from RNAcentral.